CUGGGCGCAGCCUGAUCCAGCCAUGCCGCGUGCAGGAUGACGGUCCUAUGGAUUGUAAACUGCUUUUAUACAGGAAGAAACACUGGUUCGUGAACCAGCUUGACGGUACUGUAAGAAUAAGGAUCGGCUAACUCCGUGCCAGCAGCCGCGGUAAUACGGAGGAUCCAAGCGUUAUCCGGAAUCAUUGGGUUUAAAGGGUCCGUAGGCGGUUUAAUAAGUCAGUGGUGAAAGCCCAUCGCUCAACGGUGGAACGGCCAUUGAUACUGUUAAACUUGAAUUAUUAGGAAGUAACUAGAAUAUGUAGUGUAGCGGUGAAAUGCUUAGAGAUUACAUGGAAUACCAAUUGCGAAGGCAGGUUACUACUAAUGGAUUGACGCUGAUGGACGAAAGCGUGGGUAGCGAACAGGAUUAGAUACCCUGGUAGUCCACGCCGUAAACGAUGGAUACUAGCUGUUGGAAGCAAUUUCAGUGGCUAAGCGAAAGUGAUAAGUAUCCCACCUGGGGAGUACGUUCGCAAGAAUGAAACUCAAAGGAAUUGACGGGGGCCCGCACAAGCGGUGGAGCAUGUGGUUUAAUUCGAUGAUACGCGAGGAACCUUACCAAGGCUUAAAUGUAGUUUGACCGAUUUGGAAACAGAUCUUUCGCAAGACAAAUUACAAGGUGCUGCAUGGUUGUCGUCAGCUCGUGCCGUGAGGUGUCAGGUUAAGUCCUAUAACGAGCGCAACCCCUGUUGUUAGUUGCCAGCGAGUCAUGUCGGGAACUC
RNAcentral lists this ribosomal RNA (763 nucleotides) under Flavobacterium sp. P550. Its description in RNAcentral is "bacterial SSU rRNA". It matches the Rfam family "Bacterial small subunit ribosomal RNA", at positions 371 to 1140 of the family's 1533-position model. The record is from RNAcentral. Lineage: Bacteria; Pseudomonadati; Bacteroidota; Flavobacteriia; Flavobacteriales; Flavobacteriaceae.